Molecule: transfer RNA, 87 nt
Filed under: Patescibacteria group bacterium
Lineage: Bacteria
Description: tRNA-Leu
Rfam family: tRNA
About the family: Transfer RNA (tRNA) molecules are approximately 80 nucleotides in length. Their secondary structure includes four short double-helical elements and three loops (D, anti-codon, and T loops). Further hydrogen bonds mediate the characteristic L-shaped molecular structure. tRNAs have two regions of fundamental functional importance: the anti-codon, which is responsible for specific mRNA codon recognition, and the 3' end, to which the tRNAs corresponding amino acid is attached (by aminoacyl-tRNA synthetases). tRNAs cope with the degeneracy of the genetic code in two manners: having more than one tRNA (with a specific anti-codon) for a particular amino acid; and 'wobble' base-pairing, i.e. permitting non-standard base-pairing at the 3rd anti-codon position.
Source: RNAcentral
GGCCAGGUGGCGGAACUGGUAUACGCUCCAGCUUGAGGUGCUGGUCUCCGAAAGGAGGUGCAGGUUCGAUUCCUGUCCUGGCCACCA